AAAGAUUACAUUUUUAGUUCCUUCCAGUGAACUGUUUGCUGAAGUAAACUAUGCAGCUAGCAAGAAAUGAUCCUAUGACUGUACAAUGAGUUAAUAAAACAUAAUUUACACCAUUGCCCACCUGAAGCUGAUGAAAAAGAACAGGACAGAAUAUACAUCUGCAACUAACAAAUUUGUGCAACUAAGACAGUAUGUCAAGCAAAAGAAAUGCUCAGAUAUUAUCAGAUAAUGAUCCUUAUUGAAGCCCCGCCGCCUCACACAACACUCAUGUAUAUCUUCUAGCUCCACAAGAUUAAGUAGUAAAAUGUUGGUUUUUCCGAAAGAAAGAAGGCGUCUUCACAAGUACUUUUCUCAUCAUGGGAAGAAUCUUUUGAGGCCACCAGAUAAGGGGAAUGUCGAAAGAAGUCCAACAAAACGCCUUUUCAACGAAUUACCUAGGUAUGGCAGAACAGCUAUUUCUGGAAAAUCUUGAUAAUAUGGUCUUUUUGCAGCAUUAGGACCAAGUGCUGGGACAAGACCAUCUUCUGGCAGAUGCGUGCCUUGGAGGUCUACUCCAUCUGCAUCAGUUCCACUGUUUUCUGUCAAGUCAUGUGACAGACCGCAUUGGUUCAACCAUUUGCACAACAAUCUCUCGGGAUCAUCUUGUGAUUCUCGACGAAUAAUUUCUUUCCCCAUGUCCUGAAUAAGUGGAGGCAUCAUCACCUUAUUUUCGUCAUCAAUGCUGAUGAGGGAUCUGUCAAUGAGGUUCUG
This 750-nucleotide unclassified non-coding RNA is filed under the name Hevea brasiliensis (rubber tree). The record is from RNAcentral. Lineage: Eukaryota; Viridiplantae; Streptophyta; Magnoliopsida; Malpighiales; Euphorbiaceae.